AUACGGAGGGGGCUAGCGUUGUUCGGAAUUACUGGGCGUAAAGCGCGCGUAGGCGGCUUAUCAAGUUAGGCGUGAAAGGCCUGGGCUCAACCCGGGAACUGCGCUUAAUACUGGUAGACUUGAGUCCGGGAGAGGGUGGCGGAAUUCCCAGUGUAGAGGUGAAAUUCGUAGAUAUUGGGAAGAACACCAGUGGCGAAGGCGGCCACCUGGCCCGGUACUGACGCUGAGGUGCGAAAGCGUGGGGAGCAAACAGGAUUAGAAACCCUAGUAGUCC
Molecule: ribosomal RNA, 274 nt
Filed under: uncultured bacterium
Lineage: Bacteria
Description: partial 16S ribosomal RNA
Rfam family: Bacterial small subunit ribosomal RNA
Source: RNAcentral